CGCAUGCUAUAAUGCAAGUCGAGCGAACAGAUGAGAAGCUUGCUUCUCUGAUGUUAGCGGCGGACGGGUGAGUAACACGUGGGUAACCUACCUAUAAGACUGGGAUAACUCCGGGAAACCGGGGCUAAUACCGGAUAAUAUAUUGAACCGCAUGGUUCAAUGUUGAAAGACGGUUUCGGCUGUCACUUAUAGAUGGACCCGCGCCGUAUUAGCUAGUUGGUAAGGUAACGGCUUACCAAGGCAACGAUACGUAGCCGACCUGAGAGGGUGAUCGGCCACACUGGAACUGAGACACGGUCCAGACUCCUACGGGAGGCAGCAGUAGGGAAUCUUCCGCAAUGGGCGAAAGCCUGACGGAGCAACGCCGCGUGAGUGAUGAAGGUCUUAGGAUCGUAAAACUCUGUUGUUAGGGAAGAACAAAUUUGUUAGUAACUGAACAAGUCUUGACGGUACCUAACCAGAAAGCCACGGCUAACUACGUGCCAGCAGCCGCGGUAAUACGUAGGUGGCAAGCGUUAUCCGGAAUUAUUGGGCGUAAAGCGCGCGUAGGCGGUUUCUUAAGUCUGAUGUGAAAGCCCACGGCUCAACCGUGGAGGGUCAUUGGAAACUGGGGAACUUGAGUGCAGAAGAGGAGAGUGGAAUUCCAUGUGUAGCGGUGAAAUGCGCAGAGAUAUGGAGGAACACCAGUGGCGAAGGCGGCUCUCUGGUCUGUAACUGACGCUGAUGUGCGAAAGCGUGGGGAUCAAACAGGAUUAGAUACCCUGGUAGUCCACGCCGUAAACGAUGAGUGCUAAGUGUUAGGGGGUUUCCGCCCCUUAGUGCUGCAGCUAACGCAUUAAGCACUCCGCCUG
RNAcentral lists this ribosomal RNA (851 nucleotides) under Mammaliicoccus lentus. RNAcentral describes it as "bacterial SSU rRNA". It matches the Rfam family "Bacterial small subunit ribosomal RNA", at positions 45 to 875 of the family's 1533-position model. Lineage: Bacteria; Bacillati; Bacillota; Bacilli; Caryophanales; Staphylococcaceae. The record is from RNAcentral.